UACGGAGGAUCCAAGCGUUAUCCGGAUUUAUUGGGUUUAAAGGGUGCGUAGGCGGGACAGUAAGUCAGUGGUGAAAUCCUAUUGCUUAACAAUAGAAUUGCCAUUGAUACUGCUGACCUUGAGUACAAAUGAUGUGGGCGGAAUGUGCAGUGUAGCGGUGAAAUGCUUAGAUAUUGCACAGAACACCGAUAGCGAAGGCAGCUCACAAAAAUGUAACUGGCGCUGAGGCACGAAAGUAUGGGGAUCAAACAGG
RNAcentral lists this ribosomal RNA (253 nucleotides) under uncultured bacterium. RNAcentral's name for it is "partial 16S ribosomal RNA". It matches the Rfam family "Bacterial small subunit ribosomal RNA", at positions 524 to 776 of the family's 1533-position model. The record is from RNAcentral.